Molecule: ribosomal RNA, 258 nt
Filed under: uncultured bacterium
Lineage: Bacteria
Description: partial 16S ribosomal RNA
Rfam family: Bacterial small subunit ribosomal RNA
Source: RNAcentral
GACAGAGGGUGCAAACGUUGUUCGGAAUUACUGGGCGUAAAGAGCUCGUAGGCGGUCUGUCGCGUCGAAUGUGAAAAACCCGGGGCUCAACCCCGGGGCCUGCAUUCGAUACGGGGCAGACUAGAGUUCGGUAGGGGGAGUCUGGAAUUCCUGGUGUAGCGGUGAAAUGCGCAGAUAUCAGGAGGAACACCAGCGGCGAAGGCGGCGCUCUGGGCCGGAACUGACGCUGAGGAGCGAAAGCGUGGGUAGCAAAACAGG